UGUCAGUCAAAUGCCAUCCAAAGCUUCUCAUUGGUAGCUGAUGCUGGCCCCGCCUCCCCGCGGUCGGUGAGGGGCCGGUGCUGAGGGAGCACUCCCAGAGCGGCUCCGCUCCGGGAGCCGGGCGGGUUUGGGGUUGUGUCCGGACCAGCGAGAAUUGUGGAGCCCUCUCAGACCCCACAGCGACCCCUCCGACACACAAAUCCCCUUUGGAACCCUCCCUGGGGCCGUAGGAUCUGUGAGAGGGGUCGGGGAUCCAGGACGGCGUCCUUUCCGUCCCUAUCAGAUCUUACGGAGAAAGGCAGAUACUACGUUGAGAGGAGUGCAAAGGCGAUUUUAUUUUCUUUUUCCCUCACCCAAACAGCGGUAUCCUCUAUCCAGCGUUCUGUGCUUGUGCCUCUAGUAAUACAAACCACUUUAUAAAUACCAGCCAGAAAACCGUAUUUCGGGUGAGAUGUCCAGAUGUGCGGCUGUUAAGUGGAUUUGGGACUCACCCUGUUCUAAAAGAGUGAAGAGAAGCAAAGUUUAAAAGACCUUGCUCAAGCCUAUUUUUUCAGCUUUGAGGCUUUACAUCGCUUCCUUAUUAGUCCUUAGGUGUCUCAUCAAUGAAUCUUGGUGACAAAAGCCCGGAGGAAGCCAGCCCAGCUCUUCUCUGUCACAGAGCACAAGGGCAAAGCAGAGGAAAAUUACUAAAUCACUGAAGCCAAACCCAUAAAGUAGCAUUUUAAAUCAAUGCUUACUGGAAAAGCCGAUAAGGAACUUUGAUGAUCUAGACUUAAAAGACCACUGAAAAUAUUCUUAUAUCUGUGAAUUGAAUAAUCAUAUGUUUACUUCUGUAUUUCAUGAAAAAAAAAAAAAUCUGCGAUGCAUCUUACUCAUAUCCUUGCAAUACAGGGAGGAAAAAUGCCCUGAAAAGGUAAACCAGCAUGAGAAAUGGUCACUCAAAGUGAGUGCUUGGAAGCAGAGGUUAAGGCUCCCUUCUCAGAACUGCAAGUGCUCUUUCACCCCACAAACCAAAGGACUAUAUUUUAAGGAAAGGCAGGAAACACCAUUUUACGGAUUGAUUGCUUUCUUCCUGCUGAAAUGUAUGCAAAGCUUGAAAAGCAGCUUGCUCAAGGACCUGCCUGUAAGAAAACUAUGUCUUCUGUAUUUAAGUUAGUAGUUCUUUAACUUUAGACAGUUCGUAGACAGAAUCAUAGAAUAUUCAGAGUUGGAAGGGACCCAAAUACAUCGAGCCCAACUCCUGGCCCUGCACAGGACACCCGAAGAAGAGCUGGCUUUGCAAGAUACUGCAAGAAGAGGUGGGAGAGCUGUUGGUUUGGGGGAUGUUAAAGGAAAUGUAGCUGUGAGAAGAGAAGAAAUCCCUGGAAAAACAAAAUAAAACAAACAAAAACCAGCA
Molecule: long non-coding RNA, 1396 nt
Filed under: Cyanistes caeruleus (blue tit)
Lineage: Eukaryota; Metazoa; Chordata; Aves; Passeriformes; Paridae
Description: lncRNA (ENSCCEG00000012566.1)
Source: RNAcentral